Molecule: long non-coding RNA, 205 nt
Organism: Penaeus monodon (black tiger shrimp)
Lineage: Eukaryota; Metazoa; Arthropoda; Malacostraca; Decapoda; Penaeidae
Exons: 3
Source: RefSeq, a predicted model, not a curated record
AUUUUUACCGGAGAACCACAAAUACGACCAGUCUAUUGCUGACAGAUCUCCAGUACUUUACAAGAUACAAGGUAAAACUACGGUCGUGUCAAGGCAGUGAGUCAGAACCAAGAUUUUGCAGUGAGUGGAAAGAGUACGAAGCCAUGACAUCACCGGACCUUCAAAUGAAUAAUGUAACCGCAGUGUUUGCAGAUUUCCAUUGUGA